RNAcentral lists this ribosomal RNA (253 nucleotides) under uncultured bacterium. RNAcentral's name for it is "partial 16S ribosomal RNA". It matches the Rfam family "Bacterial small subunit ribosomal RNA", at positions 524 to 776 of the family's 1533-position model. The record is from RNAcentral.
UACGUAGGCAGCAAGCGUUGUUCGGAAUUACUGGGCGUAAAGAGUGUGUAGGCGGUGCUCUAAGUUUUGUGUGAAAUCUCCCGGCUCAACUGGGAGGGUGCGCCGAAAACUGGAAUGCUUGAACAUGGGAGAGGAAAGCGGAAUUCCUGGUGUAGCGGUGAAAUGCGUAGAUAUCAGGAGGAACACCUGCGGUGUAGACGGCUUUCUGGACCAUUGUUGACGCUGAGACACGAAAGCGUGGGUAGCAAACAGG